Molecule: long non-coding RNA, 1427 nt
Organism: Ruditapes philippinarum (Manila clam)
Lineage: Eukaryota; Metazoa; Mollusca; Bivalvia; Venerida; Veneridae
Exons: 2
Source: RefSeq, a predicted model, not a curated record
UCAGAUUUGGUGUUUGUGUAAAUAUUUGUGUAUAUGAAUCUUUAUAACGCCUAUGUCACAAAUAAAACGGGCGCCGCCCGAUCUGAAUCGGCGGAUUUGACGAUCUCGCGGACGCUUGGCGAUUUUAAAUUCUUUGCGUGGUCAUAAAUUGUUUCGGCUGAAUUGAAUUUACAGGGAAGCAUUCAAAGGAUCAUGUGGUCGCAGCCCGAUGUCCGGACGCCGGCCUAUAUUGCGAUUUUUUGCGCAGUCAAUGCCUCCCUCUAUCAGACAAAGAUUUAUUUGCUGCUAAAUUUUCUAAGUUGAAACGUUCCCAUUGUAUCAAUAUAUAAGUCUCCCAAAAUCAGAAUUUCCUUUAAUUUAAAACAACAUAUUUCAAUAUCAUAUUUAAGUGGAAAGUUAAAUCGAUCGCUGAACGCUGACCUAAAUGUUGAUCAUAUUUUCUGAAAUGAAAUAUCGAUAAUAACCUUUGAAAUUAAAUACUUAUUAUAUUAAAAAAAUAAUAAGAUAAAAAAUAGGUCAAACAAUUUUGUAAAAUUGGUUGUGUAUAGAGUAACACUUUCAAUUACAUGUUUCAAACAUGGAUUUUCAUAUUUUCUGAAAAUGAAAAAACCGAAAUUAGCUGAUAAGAGCCACGUGGUAUAUCUACUUAUAUACUUGAUAUCAUGUUUUAUCAGUUCAAAUAAAUGAAAGUACGCAAUAAAUUAGAUAUAAAUCGUAAAUAUACAUGGUGUUCAUUAGGUGUUGAUAUCAAUAUAUAUUAAAUAUAUACACAACAAGUGGGCUUUAAAAUACUAGAAGAGUAAGAAAACUAGGCUUGUGAUUUGUCUAACCAAGAGAAAAAAAAUGAAGAUAUCCUCGUACUGCUUACAAUGUCAAGAAGAAACGGUUACAUUGGAUCACAAGAUGAUAGUCCUAGCGAACGGAAGAACCAGUAUUCAGGGGUACUGUGCAAAAUGCGGCAAAAAAAAGUGUACAAUUAUUGGCUAGGUCAUUCGAUAAGUCAAUUAUUGCUAAUGACAAUACUUAUUAAUUAACUUCAUGGAAAUGUAAAAAUAUUAACUUACAAUAAUUUAUAAAGAAACAUUGUGGGAAUAUUUGUUUAAUAGAUAAAAUCUAUACAUGAAUCUUUUUUCUUCUUCUUCUUCUUUCUUUUUAUCUUUAAACUGACGAAAUGUUAUCAUAUAUUUAUGACAACACGAUAGCAACAAGAAGCUGAACAAACAACAAAUCAUAUCUCAGAAAAGGAUGAUUAUUCAAAAUUGGUGUUCCACAGAGAAAAGAUGCCACAUAUUUGAACUUAAAAAUCAGGUCGGAAUAUUUGUUAAUGGUGAAUGCAAUUUCUAUUGAAAUAACUCUCGGGUAAGAGUUUUUAAACGUGUAUCCAAAGCUUUAGAUUUAUUCAUGAUAAUAAAAUAACAUACAAUGUU